Molecule: ribosomal RNA, 207 nt
Filed under: uncultured bacterium
Lineage: Bacteria
Description: partial 16S ribosomal RNA
Rfam family: Bacterial small subunit ribosomal RNA
Source: RNAcentral
CGCGUAGGUGGUUUUAUAAGUCAGGCGUGAAAGCCCCGGGCUCAACCUGGGAAAGUCGUUUGAUACUGUAAGACUAGAGGACGGAAGAGGGAAGUGGAAUUCCUAGUGUAGAGGUGAAAUUCGUAGAUAUUAGGAGGAACACCAGAGGCGAAGGCGACUUUCUGGUCCGUUACUGACACUGAGGCGCGAGAGCGUGGGGAGCAAACA